Molecule: small nuclear RNA, 93 nt
Organism: Ursus americanus (American black bear)
Lineage: Eukaryota; Metazoa; Chordata; Mammalia; Carnivora; Ursidae
Source: Ensembl
GUGCUCACUUUGGCAGCACAUACUAAAAUUGGAAUGAUAGCAUGGACCCUGUGCAAGGAUGACAUGCAAAUUCAUGAAGCAUUCCAUAUUUUU